ACCUUUGGUAGUUCAGGAGUGUGUUGUAUAAACUUCACAUAUUUGUGAAUUUUGUAAUUUUCCUUUUUCUGUGAAUGCCUAGUUUCUUGCCACUGCAGUCAGGAAAGAAGCUUGAUAUUUUUCUUCUUUAGUUUGCUAAGAUUUGACUUUUUGAACUAACAUAUGAUCUACCCUAGAGGAUGAGUCAUGUAUUAUGAAUACACUUGAGAAGAACGUGUAUUAUGCUGCUGUUGGAUGAAAACAUCUGUAUAUGUCUCUUAUGCUUAUAUGGCAUAAAGUAUAAUCAAAAUAUUGAUUGUUUAUUCAUAUGACCUAUCCAUUGUUGAAAGUGAGGCAUUGAAGCCCCCUACUAUUAUUGUGUUGCUUUCUACUUAUCCUUUCAGAUUGAUUAAUAUUUGCUCAAUAUAUUUAGGUGCCCUGAUGUUGGAUGCUUAAAUAUUUACAAUGUCCUCUUGAUGGCAUUGGUAAUAAUGCCCUUCUUUGUCUCAUUACAAUUUUUGACUUAAAGUCUCUUUUGUCUGGUAUCAGUAUAGCUACCUUUGCUUUCUUUCAUUUGCCAUCUUCAUGGAAUAUAUUUUUCCAUUCCUUAAAUUUCAGUCUAUAUGUGUCCUUAAGCCUGAAAUGAGUCUCCUGUAUGAAGCAUAUAGUUAGGUCUUGUUUGUUUACCUAUUCAGCCACUCUAUGUCUUUCAGUUGAAUAAUUUACUGUGGUUACAUUUAAAGAUAUUAUUGACAGGUUAGAGCUUGCUAUUGCCAUUUUGUUGUUUUCUGGGUGUUUUCCAAAUUCUUUGUUCCUUUCUCUCUUUCUAGUCUCCCUUGUUUUAUCACUGAGGCAAGCCAGGAUGAGAAGGCACAGGAAGUCCAUUCCACGUGUCCAUUCAAACUCCUAAGGACUACACAUGAUGUGUCCUGACAGCUCCCAGACAAAGCUAAUUAGAAGCCUGACCCUUGGGCAGUAACUAGAAAAGUUAUGCAGGUCAACUUCUUCAGGAAGAAACAGGGAAUCUUAAUUCUGCAUGCUCUGGGAACUGCUUGAAUACCCAUUUUAAAACCACUUUCUUGUUUAAUGUGAUUCUAUAGGACUGACAAUUGUUGCGCCCCAUUGGGUUUCUGGGCUGGAUGAUUUGGGAACCCACCCAUUGGUGGCACCCAUAGAACUAGAAGUGCUAGAUAUGUGGACAAGCUUUUUCCAGAGAGAAGCUUGAGACUUGGUUUUAUUAUUGGAGCAAGCUGCAGGUAGAAGGCAAGGAAGUGCUCACAAGCUUGAUAAGUCAAGCUCCUGGGUGGAUCCCAGUCAGCUUCCACAUGAAGGCAGAUUAGGAGCCUGAUAAUCAGGCAGUAGCUAGGAAAAUAUGCACGCUCCUUCUAGGAAGAACUGGGAGCUUUGAGGUUUUUGCCUGUUCCCUUUGUGCUAAGCUGAGUUGGGGAGAUAGCCUUAAGGACCAUAAAAAGAAUGUAUACAUGUAUGUGUAACUGGGUCACCAUGCUGUAUAGUAGAAAAAAAAAUUGUAUUGGGGAAAUAACAAUGAAAAAAUUAAAAAAAAAAAAGCUAGAGUGCUACCCAUGUGGUUCAAUUCAUUCACUCCUCAGGGAGGAACUGGGAGCUGUGGGGGGUUCCCUCCCAAUUGUAAGGCUCAAUGCUGGAGACUGUGCUUGGUGGUGCAAGUGUGUGUUAGUCUUUCCCUUUUGAUGCGGGUAUUGCAUGAUGUGGAGGAAUCAUUGAGCUAGUGUCUGGAUUUAUCUCACAGGGAAUUGAGACCUGUGAAACUAUAUUUUCCUUCCACCUCUAUGGAAGAAGAAAAAGACAGGAGCCUCCUCUUGUGCACCUUGCUCCUGCUAUCCAAGAAAGUGAAUUUUUAAUUCUAAUGAUUUUAAAUUUAAAUAGCCACAUGUGGCUAAUUGCUACCACUUUGGACAGUGCAAUUUUAUACCAUCUAUAGAAAUCAUGUGCUACAAAUAUUCAAGCUCAGAAUAAAAAUUCUAAUAUACUCUCAAAGCUCAAAGGAAAAGGUAUAUUUAAAAUUAUAUUAACUAAAAAGAAAUCCAAACUAAGACUUUUUUAAAAAUAUUUUUAAUGCAUAGAUACAAAUAAGGAAAGUUGCCAGGAUGACUUAUGGUAUGCGUCUUACCAUAAAACUUAGUAUUCCAGAAAAUAUAUUGACCCAAAGAAUCAGUUUUGUGUUCACAUCCUCAGUCACUGUCUUACUAUGUGCUUUCAGGCAAACUACUCGUUAUUCUAAGGUUUAUUUUAAUUUGUGAAAGGCUGAAAUAAUUCCAAAUUUACAACAAUGUUAUAAGGGUUAUAUGAGAUAAUCUGUAUACAAAAGACAUCUGGCAGAAUACCAGGCACCAAAUAGGUAUUAAAUUUCUCAAUUUUCAAAUUCCCAAAGUAUAUUGGUUAUACAAAGUUUCAUCACAUACACAAAAAUUUCCUCUUUACCUUCCUCUAAAAAGAAAUUUUAAAUGCAUUUUAAUCAAAGAAAUGAAAACCAAAAGUUUAGCACAAUAUCACGUUUUUCUUUUGUUAAUUAUAACUAUAGAAAUUAUAGUUAAUAACAACCAUAAGUUUUUUGUUUUUUUUUUUUUAGGGCCACACCUGUGGCAUAUGUAGGUUCCCAGGCUAGGGGCAGAAUUGGAGCUACAGCUCCCGGUCUACACCACAGCCAUAGCAAUGCCAGAUCCGAGCCAUGUCUGCUACUUACACCACAGCUCACGGCAAUGCCAAAUCCUUAAGCCACUGAGAGAGGCCAGGGAUUGAACUUGCAACCUCAUGGUUCCUAGUUGGAUUCAUUUACCCUGUGCCACAAUGAGAACUCCCACAACUCUAAGUUAUUAAAUGAGAAAGCAUAGAUUUUUUCUGCUUUGUCAGUCAUCAAAUUCUAGUGCUUAUACUAGUCAUUCAAUAACAUUUCUUAAAUAAAGCAAGCCUAAGCAAAUAUGCAAUCAUACUCCUUAAGCUAUUUAGAUUUCAUAAUAUCAGUCAUAAUAAUAAUUUGCAUUUUAGAAUACAGCUUUGAGUUCUUUUCUUCUUGCACAUUUUCAGUCUCACUUUUGCAUCAAUUUUUCUUUCAAACUGCCCUUCAUUUUCUUCCUCUCCACUCUCAAUGCUAUUUCACCACACUGAUGACCCAUUUAAAUGAACACAUUAACCUCUAGCUGCCAGUCUUAUCCCCAAGUUUCACUGUUGACACUAUCCUCUACAUCAGCAGACCAAAACCUGGGGGUUCCCCAAAGUAAAGUGUCACUUUUUAUCAUUAACAGUAAAGAGUCGCUAUUUAUCAUUAACAGUAAAGAGGGACAAAUAUUUUAAAAUCUUUUAAACACAAACAAAUAUAAGUA
This 3338-nucleotide long non-coding RNA is filed under the name Sus scrofa (pig). Its description in RNAcentral is "lncRNA (ENSSSCG00040031633.1)". Lineage: Eukaryota; Metazoa; Chordata; Mammalia; Artiodactyla; Suidae. The record is from RNAcentral.